Molecule: ribosomal RNA, 468 nt
Filed under: uncultured bacterium
Lineage: Bacteria
Description: partial 16S ribosomal RNA
Rfam family: Bacterial small subunit ribosomal RNA
Source: RNAcentral
GACGAACGCUGGCGGCGUGCUUAACACAUGCAAGUCGAACGGAAAGGCCCUGCUUUUGUGGGGUGCUCGAGUGGCGAACGGGUGAGUAACACGUGAGUAACCUGCCCUUGACUUUGGGAUAACUUCAGGAAACUGGGGCGAAUACCGGAUAGGAGCUCCUGCUGCAUGGUGGGGGUUGGAAAGUUUCGGCGGUUGGGGAUGGACUCGCGGCUUAUCAGCUUGUUGGUGGGGUAGUGGCUUACCAAGGCUUUGACGGGUAGCCGGCCUGAGAGGGUGACCGGCCACAUUGGGACUGAGAUACGGCCCAGACUCCUACGGGAGGCAGCAGUGGGGAAUAUUGCACAAUGGGCGGAAGCCUGAUGCAGCAACUCCGCGUGCGGGAUGACGGCCUUCGGGUUGUAAACCGCUUUCGCCUGUGACGAAGCGUGAGUGACGGUAAUGGGUAAAGAAGCACCGGCUAACUACGUG